Molecule: long non-coding RNA, 810 nt
Organism: Piliocolobus tephrosceles (Ugandan red Colobus)
Lineage: Eukaryota; Metazoa; Chordata; Mammalia; Primates; Cercopithecidae
Exons: 3
Source: RefSeq, a predicted model, not a curated record
CUUUUAAAACAAUAAUCUAGGGACAAAAAUUGAAAGCUUUAGCUUCUAAUGACUACAAGCUGUAGACUGUAGGUUGGCACAAAAUCUGAAUGGGAGCCAGUGGAUUUGGUGAGCAAAUCUUUGCAACAAGCCCUUUGAUGUUCUAAAGCUAAAGCCGUUUCAGCGGAAAGCCGGUUGGGGCGCGGGGAUUAGGACUGUGGUUUCUAUAUUUUGAAAAUAGCGCUCCCCCUUGUGGCCAUUCGCAUGCUGACUUCUGAAAUUGAGUUCUGAGAGCUCUUCCGGCUUGGGGAGCAUCUCUUCCAGUUUGUUUUCUUUCUGCUUUUAUAUUGUAGCCCUAUCUUCGAGGUAGAUUUCAGUCUCCGCUCGCCCCCUCGGUCAAGAAGCCUUGUUUAUUGUUAUUAGAUAUCGAAGAUGUUGACGGGCCCUACGUGGAGGGUCUGUGAUCAGACAGAAGGGUGAUGGGUCAGGACUCACUUCUGCUGCAUUUGACGUCAUCCCAGAGGCAGAAUGUGAGCAAAGAUGGCUGUACAAAGACAUUCACUCUGGCUUCCAGUCUGUGGUUAGAAAAACUGGAAGCAACCUAAAUGUUUAGCUUUAGGGAAGAGGCUUAAGAUGUGGUAACCAAGAUUAAGAAGAGGUAACCAAGGUGGCUUUCAUCAGUUUUGCCAUGGAUGGAGCUUUUCUUCAGAUCUUCAGGCUCACGUGGAAAAACUGAUAAAACAGAAAGCAAAUGGAAGAAUAUAAAAACCCCAAUAAUCUCACCACCUAGAGAAAACUACUGUUAGUAUUUCGAGUAUAUUUCCUUCCAGC